RNAcentral lists this long non-coding RNA (895 nucleotides) under Chinchilla lanigera (long-tailed chinchilla). RNAcentral's name for it is "lncRNA (ENSCLAG00000022225.1)". Lineage: Eukaryota; Metazoa; Chordata; Mammalia; Rodentia; Chinchillidae. The record is from RNAcentral.
UGCAGGUACUACACAAUGUGAUGCACAGCCCCAGGCUUUGAAGACUGCACAGACAGGGCAGCCAGUGGACCAAUCGUGACAUGACAAUAUGUACCUGGUCUCUUUAUAAAUUACAACAGAAAAGGACAAUUCAGGAAUUGUCAGUCUCAGAAGGGGAAUCACAGGUUGCUUUGUGCGCUAGUCACACAUGGACAGAAGCAGCCACUUCCAAGGCUCCCAGCCUGCACCCCGACUGAGCAGGGAGAUGAGAACCACCCCCGGAAUCAAACCUCAGCUCCGAGAACCAACACCUGCACCAGCUCUCCCUAAGCAACACCUGUAUGGAGCCCUCCACUGCGUUUCUUCAGGUCUGCUAUACUUGGCUGCGCUCCCUGAGAUUUUCUCACGUGUAAAAGAAGAGAGGAGAUUUCCAACAAGCAUAUCCAGGACCAAACACACAAAAAAGAAUAUCAUGUGCAUACAAAUGUAUCAUUUAAGCUCAGUAUGAAAUUAAAUAUGUCAAAACAUUGAAAAGCACUCAGGACAUAUCAAAUAAAGGGCAUUUACAAAAGACCUCAAACAUUCCGCUUAAGCUGUCUGUGUAUAUCAAAUACUGAAAGUAUUGACAUGUAGAAUUUCAGUUGUAUGAUAUUAUAGAACUUGACAUUUUUGGUCAGAUGCUUGAAGCAGACCUCAUUAAGAAUCAGAAAUUUUUUUGCAAAAGGGAAAAGGAUCAAGAGAUGCAGCGAUGGAGGGAGAAGGGGAAGGGGAUUAAGAGAAAGAAUUAAGAUGCGUAAUGCACGCACACCAAGUCCAGUCACCGUGCACUGCAAACAUGGCCUAUGCUGACAAAACGAAAGCUUUCACAAAAGAAUAAGAGUAUUUAAAAAUUGUAAGACUUCUUUCUAUAGUUAUU